Molecule: ribosomal RNA, 517 nt
Filed under: uncultured Glomus
Lineage: Eukaryota; Fungi; Glomeromycota; Glomeromycetes; Glomerales; Glomeraceae
Description: SSU rRNA
Rfam family: Eukaryotic small subunit ribosomal RNA
Source: RNAcentral
CAGCCGGGUAAUUCCAGCUCCAAUAGCGUAUAUUAAAGUUGCUGCAGUUAAAAAGCUCGUAGUUGAAUUUCGGGACUAAUAUGUCGGUCGUGCCUCGGUACGUACUGGUUUAUUGGUUUCUCCUUUCUGAAGAACCAUGAUGUCAUUUAUUUGGUGUCGUGGGGAAUCAGGACUGUUACUUUGAAAAAAUUAGAGUGUUUAAAGCAGGCUCACGCUUGAAUACAUUAGCAUGGAAUAAUGAAAUAGGACGUUUGAUUCUAUUUUGUUGGUUUCUAGGAUCGACGUAAUGAUUAAUAGGGAUAGUUGGGGGCAUUAGUAUUCAAUUGUCAGAGGUGAAAUUCUUGGAUUUAUUGAAGACUAACUACUGCGAAAGCAUUUGCCAAGGAUGUUUUCAUUAAUCAAGAACGAAAGUUAGGGGAUCGAAGACGAUCAGAUACCGUCGUAGUCUUAACCAUAAACUAUGCCGACUAGGGAUCGGAUGAUGUUAAUUUUUUAAUGACUCAUUCGGCGCCUUACG